GGAUAACCUGCCCUUAGGUCUGGCAUAACCCCGGGAAACUGGGGAUAAUUCCGGAUAGAUCAUGGAUGCUGGAAUGCACCGUGAUCCAAAGCUUUUGUGCCUAAGGAUGGGUCUGCGGUCUAUCAGGUCGUAGUGGGUGUAAAGUACCUACUAGCCUACGACGGAUACGGGUUGUGAGAGCAAGAGCCCGGAGAUGGAUUCUGAGACAUGAAUCCAGGCCCUACGGGGCGCAGCAGGCGCGAAAACUUUACACUGCGGGAAACCGCGAUAAGGGAACACCGAGUGCCAGCAUCCUAUGUUGGCUGUCCACAUGUGUAAAUAACAUGUGUUAGCAAGGGCCGGGCAAGACCGGUGCCAGCCGCCGCGGUAACACCGGCGGCCCGAGUGGUGGCCACUAUUAUUGGGUCUAAAGGGUCCGUAGCCGGUUUGGUCAGUCUUCCGGGAAAUCUGACGGCUUAACCGUUAGGCUUCCGGGGGAUACUGCCAGACUUGGGACCGGGAGAGGUAAGAGGUACUACGGGGGUAGGAGUGAAAUCUUGUAAUCCCUGUGGGACCACCAGUGGCGAAGGCGUCUUACCAGAACGGGUCCGACGGUGAGGGACGAAAGCUGGGGGCACGAACCGGAUUAGAUACCCGGGUAGUCCCAGCCGUAAACUAUGCUCGCUAGGUGUCAGGGACGGUGCGACCGUUUCUGGUGCCGCAGGGAAGCCGUGAAGCGAGCCACCUGGGAAGUACGGUCGCAAGGCUGAAACUUAA
RNAcentral lists this ribosomal RNA (756 nucleotides) under Methanomethylovorans sp. enrichment culture clone A1-46. RNAcentral describes it as "bacterial SSU rRNA". It matches the Rfam family "Archaeal small subunit ribosomal RNA", at positions 102 to 859 of the family's 1478-position model. Lineage: Archaea; Methanobacteriati; Methanobacteriota; Methanomicrobia; Methanosarcinales; Methanosarcinaceae. The record is from RNAcentral.